This 221-nucleotide long non-coding RNA is filed under the name Lathyrus oleraceus (garden pea). Its description in RNAcentral is "Pisum sativum (pea) long non-coding RNA (PSAT_LNC034197)". The record is from RNAcentral. Lineage: Eukaryota; Viridiplantae; Streptophyta; Magnoliopsida; Fabales; Fabaceae.
CUGUGAUUCAAACUUUGGCUUGUUUGCAGCGGCUUGGGAUUUGCUUUGGUUGUUCGUACCACUGGCUUGUACUUUGGAAUCUCUUUACUAUAGCAUCUUUUUGGUGGUUGCAGCGUCGCCGACAUUGGCGUUAGGCUUUUGGAAGCUUCAUUUUUUAUGGCUAGUGUACGUGAACUGCGUUUUGGCCUUUGGUAGCUGCAGCUGGUAGCAGCUUUUUGCAG